This is a long non-coding RNA of Triticum aestivum (bread wheat), 433 nucleotides long. RefSeq lists it as uncharacterized. The record is from RefSeq and is a predicted model, not a curated record. NCBI's taxonomy places the organism in Eukaryota, Viridiplantae, Streptophyta, Magnoliopsida, Poales, Poaceae. The transcript has 3 exons.
CAGAACUUCAUCGCAAAAGAAGAACUAUUAAAUGGAGAUGAGACUGACUCGCGUUGCUUCACGGCCGCCCAAGAAUAUUCUGCACACAAGAAUCGCUGAUCCCGGGUCGAGGUGCUGCUCCUUAGCUUUUUGAUGGGGGUCGUCCUCGUACCUAAUGACACAUAACAUCGUUUGAUGAGGUACGCGAGCACGAUGUCGUGCCCAUGAGGAUAACCGUAGGACCCUCCGCAUCAACAUGUCAAUUUAGUAGAUAUUCUUUGGAAUUGGCACAAAGAAAGCAGAGAAACAAGGUGGAGUAGGAAAACAUCCCUGGUUUUCAGGCGUGUGACGGUAAGCUUGUAAUCUGGGAUACCGUAUGCAUCAACGUAGGCAUAUAUCUGAACACCAAAGGCAAAGAUCGGUGUAUGCUCUACUCUACUUUGUCCAUUAAAAC